RNAcentral lists this non-coding RNA (22 nucleotides) under Arabidopsis thaliana (thale cress). Lineage: Eukaryota; Viridiplantae; Streptophyta; Magnoliopsida; Brassicales; Brassicaceae. The record is from RNAcentral.
UGCUAUGUUGCUGCUCAUUAUG